RNAcentral lists this ribosomal RNA (266 nucleotides) under uncultured prokaryote. Its description in RNAcentral is "partial 16S ribosomal RNA". It matches the Rfam family "Bacterial small subunit ribosomal RNA", at positions 524 to 789 of the family's 1533-position model. The record is from RNAcentral.
CACGUAGGGGGCGAGCGUUGUCCGGAAUUACUGGGCGUAAAGGGCGCGCAGGCUGUUAUGCGAGUCUGCUGUGAAAUGUACCGGCUCAACCGGUGCCUUGCGGCGGAUACUGCAUAGCUGGAGUACUGGAGAGGGAAGUGGAAUUCCCGGUGUAGCGGUGAAAUGCGUAGAUAUUAGGAGGAAUACCGAAGGCGAAGGCAGUCUUCCAAGCCGUUAUUGACGCUCAACUGCGAAGGUGUGGGUAUCAAACAGGAUUAGAUACCCGU